RNAcentral lists this ribosomal RNA (492 nucleotides) under uncultured bacterium. RNAcentral's name for it is "partial 16S ribosomal RNA". It matches the Rfam family "Bacterial small subunit ribosomal RNA", at positions 30 to 507 of the family's 1533-position model. The record is from RNAcentral.
AUUGAACGCUGGCGGUAGGCCUAACACAUGCAAGUCGAACGGCAGCACAGUAAGAGCUUGCUCUUACGGGUGGCGAGUGGCGGACGGGUGAGGAAUACAUCGGAAUCUACUUUUUCGUGGGGGAUAACGUAGGGAAACUUACGCUAAUACCGCAUACGACCUACGGGUGAAAGCAGGGGAUCUUCGGACCUUGCGCGAUUGAAUGAGCCGAUGUCGGAUUAGCUAGUUGGCGGGGUAAAGGCCCACCAAGGCGACGAUCCGUAGCUGGUCUGAGAGGAUGAUCAGCCACACUGGAACUGAGACACGGUCCAGACUCCUACGGGAGGCAGCAGUGGGGAAUAUUGGACAAUGGGCGCAAGCCUGAUCCAGCCAUACCGCGUGGGUGAAGAAGGCCUUCGGGUUGUAAAGCCCUUUUGUUGGGAAAGAAAAGCAGCAGGUUAAUACCCCGCUGUUCUGACGGUACCCACAGAAUAAGCACCGGCUAACUUCGUG